AAGUGGCGUACGGGUGAGUAACACGUGGAUCAUCUACCUUCUAGUGGGGGAUAACCCUGGGAAACCGGGGCUAAUACCGCAUAAGCUCGAGAGAGGAAAGCAGCAAUGCGCUGGAAGAGGAGUCCGCGGCCGAUUAUGCUAGUUGGUAGGGUAAAAGCCUACCAAGGCUACGAUCGGUAGCCGGCCUGAGAGGGCACACGGCCACACUGGCACUGAAACACGGGCCAGACUCCUACGGGAGGCAGCAGUGGGGAAUCUUGCACAAUGGGGGCAACCCUGAUGCAGCGACGCCGCGUGAGCGAUGAAGCCCCUCGGGGUGUAAAGCUCUUUCGGCAGGGAAGAUUAUGACGGUACCUGCAGAAGCAGCUGCGGCUAACUACGUGCCAGCAGCCGCGGUAAUACGUAGGCAGCAAGCGUUGUUCGGAGUUACUGGGCGUAAAGGGUGUGUAGGCGGUCCCCUAAGUUUGGUGUGAAAUCUCCCGGCUCAACUGGGAGGGUGCGCCGAAAACUGGAGGGCUAGAGUGCGGGAUGGGAAAGUGGAAUUCCUGGUGUAGCGGUGAAAUGCGUAGAUAUCAGGAGGAACACCUGUGGUGUAGACGGCUUUCUGGACCGCAAC
This 616-nucleotide ribosomal RNA is filed under the name uncultured bacterium. RNAcentral's name for it is "bacterial SSU rRNA". It matches the Rfam family "Bacterial small subunit ribosomal RNA", at positions 93 to 740 of the family's 1533-position model. The record is from RNAcentral.